CCUACGUGAGGCAGCAGUGAGGAAUAUUGGUCAAUGGGCGCGAGCCUGAACCAGCCAAGUAGCGUGAAGGAUGACUGCCCUACGGGUUGUAAACUUCUUUUAUAAAGGACUAAAGUGAGGCACGUGUGCCUUUUUGUAUGUACUUUAUGAAUAAGGAUCGGCUAACUCCGUGCCAGCAGCCGCGGUAAUACGGAGGAUCCGAGCGUUAUCCGGAUUUAUUGGGUUUAAAGGGAGCGUAGAUGGGUUGUUAAGUCAGUUGUGAAAGUUUGCGGCUCAACCGUAAAAUUGCAAUUGAUACUGGCAGUCUUGAGUACAGUUGAGGUAGGCGGAAUUCGUGGUGUAGCGGUGAAAUGCUUAGAUAUCACGAAGAACUCCGAUUGCGAAGGCAGCUUACUAAACUGCCACUGACAUUGAUGCUCGAAAGUGUGGGUAUCAAACAGGAUUAGAUACCCUUGUAGUC
RNAcentral lists this ribosomal RNA (460 nucleotides) under uncultured bacterium. Its description in RNAcentral is "partial 16S ribosomal RNA". It matches the Rfam family "Bacterial small subunit ribosomal RNA", at positions 338 to 795 of the family's 1533-position model. The record is from RNAcentral.